Molecule: ribosomal RNA, 246 nt
Filed under: uncultured bacterium
Lineage: Bacteria
Description: partial 16S ribosomal RNA
Rfam family: Bacterial small subunit ribosomal RNA
Source: RNAcentral
UGGGUAACCUGCCUCAAAGAGGGGAAUAGCCUCCCGAAAGGGGAGAUUAAUACCGCAUAAUAUGUUUAGGUCGCAUGACUUUAACAUCAAAGGAUUUUCUUUUAGAACUUCCACUUUGAGAUGGACCCCGCGGUGCAUUAGCUAGUUGGUGAGGUAACGGCUCACCAAGGCAACGAUGCGUAGCCGACCUGAGAGGGUGAUCGGCCACAUUGGAACUGAGACACGGUCCAGACCUCCGUAGGGAGG